RNAcentral lists this long non-coding RNA (1309 nucleotides) under Vombatus ursinus (common wombat). RNAcentral's name for it is "lncRNA (ENSVURG00010016639.1)". The record is from RNAcentral. Lineage: Eukaryota; Metazoa; Chordata; Mammalia; Diprotodontia; Vombatidae.
GUAAUACAUCAGAGUUAACCCCUGGGUGACAAUUUCUAUCUCAUUCUAUUUACAGCUGCUACAAUAAACAAACACAAUUUUUACUGCAUGAUGACUCUGCUCAAUAGUCUAUUUUCCAGUGUACCAGAUAUGAAAUCCUCUGCUUGGAAUUCAUCAACUGCCUCCAUGCUUCUCCUUUUCUGCACCACCAGACCAAUGAACCUGGGUAACCAUAGGCACAUGGCCAGCCAUCUGGUAAUGAUGACAUCAAUAUCACAGUAGAAGAAGAUCAAGGAUCUAAUCGCCAAAAAGACAUACAAGAGGAGCCUAACUGGACAGCUAUGGUGCCGAUGCCUCGGAAGAGAAGUGGAUUCCUCCUGCUUGCUCACACCAAUCCACUCCUUGUGGAAGUCCUUCAGAUGUAGGGAACUCCCUUACGUGUGGGAAUCUCCCUUACCAAGCCCUUCACUCCUCCUUCCCUCCUGUAUUUUUUUUUGAGACCGGAAAGGACGAUGACAAGAUAAAUUUAGAAUUGUAAGGGACCUUAGAAACCAUCUCUGGCAAGCUAUGAAACAUUAGGUAAAUUUAGUCUCUCUAUGUCUCAGUUUCUUCACCUUUUAAAAUGGAGGUGAUGGAUUGGAUAUUCUCUGAGGUCUAAGGUUACUUCCCAGCUCUAAAUCUAUUUCCUAACUCUUUCAUUUUACAGAUGAGAUAGAACUAAAUCUCGGAAAGGCUAAGUGAUUAGCACCAAGCCUUAUGAGUAGUAAGGGGUAGACCUGGCAUUUGAACCCAAAUCUUCUCAUUGGGAUUCCAGUGUGGUUUUUUUUUCUGUUCCCUUGCACCAUACUAUAUCCAAAAACUGUUAAGGCUAGAUGAUAAGAGGGGAAUACCAAGAUUUUCUUUCUAGAAAAAAAUUUGCAUGUUUCCCCAUGAUUCCAGAUCUGUUUCCCACUUGCAGGCAGAUUUCACUAGGGCUACUACUCAGAGUGAUGGAAACUCAUCUUCUCAGUUCAUCAUAAUAGGACUCUAUGAGUUGAUAGGAGAAAUAAGGAGACAAGAAUAGUGGGGUUCAUAGAGUAGCAGGGUUUCCAAGCUUUUCAGCUGAAUAGACAGCCACAACAAUAAGAGAUGGCUACAUGGAUUAACCUCCUCCCCACCUAGGACAGGUGGUUCAAUGGAUAGAGCAGUCAAAUUAAAAUCAGGAAGAACUAAGUUCAAUCCUGCCUCAGGUAUCUACUUGCUGCAUGGUCCUAAGCAAAUCAUUUAACCUCUUGAUGUUAUUUACUUCAACCUUAAAAUAAAGAUGAAUAAAUCACAGGGUGGUUGUGAG